Molecule: ribosomal RNA, 489 nt
Filed under: uncultured bacterium
Lineage: Bacteria
Description: partial 16S ribosomal RNA
Rfam family: Bacterial small subunit ribosomal RNA
Source: RNAcentral
UUGCACGCUGGCGGCAGGCCUAACCCCUGCCAGUCGAACGGUAACAGGAAACAGCUUGCUGUUUCGCUGACGAGUGGCGGACGGGUGAGUAAUGUCUGGGAAACUGCCUGAUGGAGGGGGAUAACUACUGGAAACGGUAGCUAAUACCGCAUAACGUCGCAAGACCAAAGAGGGGGACCCUCGGGCCUCUUGCCAUCGGAUGUGCCCAGAUGGGAUUAGCUUGUUGGUGGGGUAACGGCUCACCAAGGCGACGAUCCCUAGCUGGUCUGAGAGGAUGACCAGCCACACUGGAACUGAGACACGGUCCAGACUCCUACGGGAGGCAGCAGUGGGGAAUAUUGCACAAUGGGCGCAAGCCUGAUGCAGCCAUGCCGCGUGUAUGAAGAAGGCCUUCGGGUUGUAAAGUACUUUCAGCGGGGAGGAAGUGAGUAAAGUUAAUACCUUUGCUCAUUGACGUUACCCGCAGAAGAAGCACCGGCUAACUCCGUG